Molecule: ribosomal RNA, 253 nt
Filed under: uncultured bacterium
Lineage: Bacteria
Description: partial 16S ribosomal RNA
Rfam family: Bacterial small subunit ribosomal RNA
Source: RNAcentral
UACGUAGGGGGCUAGCGUUGUCCGGAAUCAUUGGGCGUAAAGCGCGUGUAGGCGGUCCGGUAAGUCCGCUGUGAAAGUCGGGGGCUCAACCCUCGAAUGCCGGUGGAUACUGUCGGGCUAGAGUGCGGAAGAGGCGAGUGGAAUUCCUGGUGUAGCGGUGAAAUGCGCAGAAAUCAGGAGGAACACCAAUUGCGAAGGCAGCUCGCUGGGACGUUACUGACGCUGAGACGCGAAAGCGUGGGGAGCAAACAGG